This 502-nucleotide ribosomal RNA is filed under the name uncultured bacterium. RNAcentral describes it as "bacterial SSU rRNA". It matches the Rfam family "Bacterial small subunit ribosomal RNA", at positions 173 to 670 of the family's 1533-position model. The record is from RNAcentral.
UAAUAUCGAAAGAUUAAAGUGUGGGACCUUCGGGCCACAUGCCAUAGGAUGAGCCCAAGUGGGAUUAGGUAGUUGGUGAGGUAAAGGCUCACAAAGCCGACGAUCUCUAGCUGGUCCGAGAGGAUGACCAGCCACGCUGGGACUGAGACACGGCCCAUACUCCUACGGGAGGCAGCAGUGGGGAAUAUUGCGCGAAUGGGGGCAACCCUGACGCAGCCAUGCCGCGUGAAUGAAGAAGGUCUUCGGGUUGUAAAGUUCUUUCGGUAGCGAGGAAGGCAUUUAGUUUAAUAGACUAGGUGAUUGACGUUAACUACAGAAGAAGCACCGGCUAACUCCGUGCCAGCAGCCGCGGUAAUACGGAGGGUGCGAGCGUUAAUCGGAACAACUGGGCGUAAAGGGCACGCAGGCGGUGACUUAUGUGAGGUGUGAAAGCCCCGGGCUUAACCUGAGAAUUGCAUUUCAUACUGGGUCGCUAGAGUACUUUAGGGAGGGGUAGAAUUCC